Molecule: ribosomal RNA, 319 nt
Filed under: uncultured eukaryote
Lineage: Eukaryota
Description: partial 18S ribosomal RNA
Rfam family: Eukaryotic small subunit ribosomal RNA
Source: RNAcentral
CCCUUAGAUGUUCUGGGCUGCACGCGCGCUACACUGACGUACGCAACGAGUGUCCUUUACCGAGAGGUAUGGGUAAUCAUUUGAGUGUACGUCGUGAUGGGGAUAGAAUAUUGUAAUUAUUACUCUUCAACGAGGAAUUCCUAGUAAGCGCAAGUCAGCAGCUUGCGCUGAUUACGUCCCUGCCCUUUGUACACACCGCCCGUCGCUCCUACCGAUGGGUGAUCCGGUGAAUGAUUCGGACUCGGUUGCCUCUAGCCGCUAGUGGCGCUCGAGAAAGUUUUGUGAACCUUAUCACUUGGAGGAAGGAGAAGUCGUAACA